GCGCUCGCCUCAGCAACACACAUACUAAAAUAGGAAUGAUACAGAGAAAAUUAACAUGGCUCCUGCACAAGGUUGACAUGCAAAUUCAUGAAGUAUGCCAUAUUUUU
Small nuclear RNA from Hemicordylus capensis (graceful crag lizard), 107 nucleotides. Lineage: Eukaryota; Metazoa; Chordata; Lepidosauria; Squamata; Cordylidae. The record is from RefSeq and is a predicted model, not a curated record.